This 424-nucleotide ribosomal RNA is filed under the name Verrucomicrobiota bacterium. Its description in RNAcentral is "Verrucomicrobia bacterium partial 16S ribosomal RNA". It matches the Rfam family "Bacterial small subunit ribosomal RNA", at positions 355 to 776 of the family's 1533-position model. Lineage: Bacteria; Pseudomonadati; Verrucomicrobiota. The record is from RNAcentral.
UGAGGAAUAUUGGUCAAUGGACGCAAGUCUGAACCAGCCAAGUAGCGUGCAGGAUGACGGCCCUAUGGGUUGUAAACUGCUUUUAUAUGGGGAUAAAGUGGGGAACGUGUUCCCUUUUGCAGGUACCAUAUGAAUAAGGACCGGCUAAUUCCGUGCCAGCAGCCGCGGUAAUACGGAAGGUUCGGGCGUUAUCCGGAUUUAUUGGGUUUAAAGGGAGCGUAGGCCGUUUGGUAAGCGUGUUGUGAAAUGUAGGAGCUCAACUUCUAGAUUGCAGCGCGAACUGUCAGACUUGAGUGCGCACAACAUAGGCGGAAUUCAUGGUGUAGCGGUGAAAUGCUUAGAUAUCAUGAAGAACUCCGAUUGCGAAGGCAGCUUACGGGAGCGCAACUGACGCUGAAGCUCGAAGGUGCGGGUAUCGAACAGG